Molecule: ribosomal RNA, 2007 nt
Filed under: Hyperamoeba sp. ATCC50750
Lineage: Eukaryota; Evosea; Eumycetozoa
Description: SSU rRNA
Rfam family: Eukaryotic small subunit ribosomal RNA
Source: RNAcentral
UCGACAACCUGGUUGAUCCUGCCAGUAGUGUAUGCUUUUCCUAAAGAUUAAGCCAUGCAUGCCUAAGACUAUGAGGAAGCAAUUCUCUCUGAAUCUGCGAACGGCUCCGCAAACCAGUUGUAAACCAUAGCAGCGUUCCGCCCGGCUUCAGCAAUGGGGCCGGGCAUUAUAUGGAUAACCGUGGUAAUUCUGAGGCUAAUACAUGACACACUAACCCGUCGGGCUGGGGGCAACCUCGGCUUGGUGGGGGACGUGCGAUAAACACCGGCUACAAUUAAAAAUACCGCGAAAAGGACGCACGUUCAGACCGCCAUCCAAACGGGGGAGGGGGCUUCGGCUUCGGAACCCGGGCGGCCCCUGCAACGGGCUUCUGACCUAUCAACUAGACGGCAGCGUAAGGGACAUGCUAUGGUAACAACGGGUACAGAGGAUUAGGGUUCGAUCCUGGAGAGUGGGCCUGAGAGAUUGCUCAUACUUCUAAGGAAGGCAGCAGGCGCGCAACGUUCCCCUUGGGCAAAGCUCGAGGGCGUUAUGGGAAAUAUGAAUGCUUGCCUUUACGGUGGGCAAUUCAAAUGGGUUUGUCGUAAACAGGCUCUCGAGUAACAAUUAGAGGACAAGUCUGGUGCCAGCACCCGCGGUAAUUCCAGCUCUAAUAGCAUACGUUAAAGUUGUUGCGGUUAAAACGCUCGUAGUCGGCUUCAGACCAUCAGAAGCCUGGCUCGGGGUCUCGGGUCUGUGCCUCGCAAGGGGUGCGCCUUGGUCUUGGGCCGGGUGGGCGGCGGUCAAUCGUGCCCAGUGGCGUGUCGCGGCUUGCCGUGGCUUACAGGGCCUUCGGGAUCAAAACCCGGCUUCCGCAAGGGGGUCGGGUCCCGUCGGUCUGGCUCUGGGUACCAAUUACCAUGAUUAAACCGGAGUGAUCAAAGCAAACCGCUGCGGUUACUGCACGGAUUAGCAUGGCAUAAGGAUGCGUCGGGUUGGUCUCGUAGCGGGCCUCCUCGGCAAUUCCGCGAAAGGGGUGUUCGGGGGCAGCCGAAUUGCCGGGCUAGUGGUGAAAUACGUUGACCCUGGCAAGUCGACCGAAAGCGAAAGCAGCUGUCAAGGGCACACCCGUUGAUCAAGAGCGAAAGUUAAGGGUUCGAAGACGAUCAGAUACCGUCGUAGUCUUAACUAUAAAUGAUACUGGCCAGGGAUAGGGCAAUGUCCAUCUCGACUCCCCCCGGACUUUUGGGAAACCAAAGCCUAUGAGUUCUGGGGGGAGUAUGGUCGCAAGGCUGAAACUUAAAGGAAUUGACGGAAGGGCACACAAAGAGUGGAACCUGCGGCUUAAUUUGACUCAACACGGGAAAACUCACCGGGUCCAGAUACAUGGAUGAAAGACAAGCUGAUAGACUUUUCUCAAUUAUGUAAGUGGUGGUGCAUGGCCGUUCUUAGUUCGUGGAGUGGUUUGUCUGGUCUAUUCCGAUAACGAGCGAGACCCCAACGGUCUAAAUAGGGGCCGCAGCCCGGCUCGGCUCGCCUUCACGGGUGGGCCUUGCUAGCAGCGCGCUUCGAAGGCAAGCUUCUUAGACGGAUCGGGGCCGAUAAGGUCUCUGAAAUGGGUUAAUAACAGGUCAGUCAUGCCCUUAGAUGUUCCGGGCCGCACGCGCGUUACAAUGGGGGGCAAAACGAGUGUCCGUCAGGGCUUUUCCGCCGCCUACCGGUGGUGGUAACCCGUAGGGCCCCCCUUGACUGGGCUAGUCUCUUGCAAUUAUUGGUCUUCAACGAGGAAUUUUUAGUAGGCGCGGGUCAUUAACCCGUGCCGAAUGCGUCCCUGCCCUUUGUACACACCGCCCGUCGCUGCUACCGAUUGGGUUUCGCGGUUACGUAUUCGGAGAUUCUUUCAACUGCUGCCGCAAGGCGGCGGGCGACUGGGUCUAAGUCUAAAUUACCGCACGGCCUAGAGGAAGCAGAAGUCGUAACAAGGUAAUCGUAGGUGAACCUGCAGAAGGAUCAAGCUUGGAUCCCGGG